Gallus gallus (chicken) is the source of this 2132-nucleotide long non-coding RNA. NCBI's taxonomy places the organism in Eukaryota, Metazoa, Chordata, Aves, Galliformes, Phasianidae. The record is from Ensembl.
GAAGAAACUUAUUUUCCCCCCACUACACCUUGGUCAUCUCGGUAUUCCCAUGCAGUAAGAUCUCUUCAUUAAAAAACAAAGCUUCCAUUAUUGCCAAGUCAGCUUGUAGCAGGGUCGGAGAAAUAAAGAUUUAUUCCUUAUCUAUUGGUAAUAGUGUUUCCUAAAGUGCAAAACAGGGUACUUUUCAAGUCUGCUUCUUAACGUAGUUAAUGUGAGUCCACUGGUUGUGUGAAACCUUGUGCAUUUUGGCCCGUGCAGUAUUUCCGCGCAUGUUGCGAUAAGAACUGGCAGGACAUAGUCGUACCAUUUGCCUUAUUUCAUCAAGUCCUUUCAUCUCUGGCUCUACAACUUCAAAAUAUGAGCAUGGUGUUAUGAGCACUUUGAAUGUGUUGUGUGGUUUCUGAAGAGCAGAAAAAUGAUUUAGAUGAAUUCAAUUGCACAAAUGAGCACUUAAGUGCUUAAUAAAGUCAUCUAACAAAAUGAGAGGAGAGGCACCCUCCAUUCAUUAAGCCUUUUCCCCUUGAGGGAGGCUUUCUAGCCCCAAAAGCUGGAUUCAGUACAUUCCUCGGGACCAGUUGUGGCCUUCUGAGUUUUCUGCUUCACAACACGAUGACAAACAGGGGGUGGGUUUUGAUUUCAGCGUGCUUACAAAAAUACAAGGUGAGUCAAAAAUGGCCUUUUGGCACAUAGCCAAACUGCUGGAAUGACUCCAGGAUGCUCCUCCCCUCCCCCCCCACCCCCCCUCUUUGUAAACUGCAUGCAGCUAUCACGUGAGCAAGAAGGUCAAAUCUGUCCCCCAGCUCAUCAUUCAGUGCUUGCUUAUUUGUGUUUGUGAACAAAAGCAGCUCUGCAACCCCGGAACAAGUAGCACCACAGGUGUGAAGCAUCAGGGAGAAAUUGCACCUGCUCUGAUGCUGAUUUGGUGAAUACCUUUUGGCAUCUGACAAAAAAUACCACAGUCAAAUGGGAAACAGGCCCUCCAAGUGUUCUGUCUCUGCUCGUCUUUCUGGGUUUAUCUCCUCUGCUAAGCACUUCUCUGGAUUUCUAUGAAAUCAAGAUACUAUUUGGAGAGGAGAAAUUCAUUUGAGUCAGGUAGGUGAGAUGCAUUCAGGGCAGAUGCAGUCUUUAAUUCCAGUAUGCUUUUACAAGGAGCAUUUAUUCCUGAGGCACAAACGAGAUUCUGGAGAAGGGCCCCCAGGUAGAAUGAGUAGCAGGAAGGUUCCCCAGGCACCAUCUUCUUGAUAUACGUGAAGUAAAUCUGGAUAAAUUCUAUUUAGAACAGAACGACCUUCUGGGCUGCACCCUGCAUCUUGUGUGAGAUUCACGCAGUGCUGGAGUGGGAAGCAUUUGUUUUCUGUUAUUUACUUUAUACCAUUUGAUGUUUCUUCUUCGUCUUUGGUAUCACCCAUUCCAAAUGUUCCUUACCUCUGUGCAGUCCUCCUGGUGCUGUGGGAGUAAUACCUACCAGCUGUGCCCUUACUCCUCCUUCAUGCCCCGUUCAGCUGCAGCUGGAUCACACAGCUCUAACUCCCGCAGAGCAGCCCAAGCGUAAAACAGACUAAGGAAUAUUCCUGGCACUUGUUUGCUCUGGCCACGUUAGGAAGAUAGGAGAAGGGAAAAUGGGUCAUCCAGCUCAUGGAACAGAUGAGGUGGUGCUGGGAGAGAGAGGAGGGAAAGAAGGAAGGAAUGGAUUAUGAAACCAAGGGAAAGCUGAUGAAUGUCAUAAAAGUAUGAGCAGCAUGGCUACCCUCUGGGAACGUGAAGGCCUCAGAAGUACAUCUAUUGUAUGUUGUACAAGUAUGUGCCAAAUUAAUGAAUCAGUUUGAGAAGACAUUCUUUGAAGAGGAACUACUCAAAAGUAUAUAAAGAAGUUAAGGAAAAGUUUCUAGCUUAUUUCUAAACGCUUGUGGGAACUCCUGGCUGUUAUUACUCAAAACAGGCUCAAGACAAUUGCUACAGGACAAAGCAAGACAUGAGUGGUCCGGCUUUUUGGAGUUGGUGAGUGCAUACAACCGCUUUUCACUUGCUCCAGUAGAGGCUGUAGAUUCACAGGACUCCUACAAGACACACUGUUGAGAAGGAGCCUGCUGGCUUAUCCCGCUGGCAGAACAAGCUUCAUUAUGCCAAAGGAC